UGAGGUGCAUACACUUGUGUCUGGAACCAGUGACCUUUCCAGAAAGGAAAAGGCACCCACCCCACCCCUUGGAGCAGGCUCUGGAGAAUUCACUUCUUGGCCAGUCACCCCUGGGACCUCCUGCUCUCACCAUUCAGAGGGCCUGAAUGUGGUGUCCUCUGAGUCCUAGCGGCUCAUCCUGCCUUACAUACAGACCCUUAAGGGACCAGGCAAACCCCCCUCAAGCUUCUACCCAUGAUGCUUUGAAAAGCUGCAAAGGGGCCAGGCUGAGGGGAGCAGAGGGAGCCCCACAGCCCUUGGGCCUCUGUAGUCCUUAAGGGCUGGGCACAGGCCUAUCUGAGCCCAGGACCUGAGCCCAAGCAAGAAGGAGAUUUCUCUUUAACGCCUUAGCUCCUCUUCCCCAAAGAGCUCAAGGCAGAGAUUGUCAACCUGGGAUUCUGUGCCCUGCAGUUUCUCAACUUAAUCUGCAGGGAGCAGACUCCCUACAGCGGGCAGGGCUGCAGCAGUAGCCGGGCCUGGCCCCUGUGCCUGGAGGCAACGGGACGAGCUGGGAUGCCCUGGAGCUGUGUCUGGCUGGCCACAGUCGGAGAGAAGCCUAGUAGCUAACUCCUCACGACUCUGGUUAAUUUGCUGAGUGAAGAAGGAAGGAAACGGAAGUGGAUCAAGUAAAAUCAAGAAAAGCAUGGCCGUGACUCAAGGAAGUCCUGAAAAGAAGCAAAGAGGUGGCCGGAAAAACCAGUGUUCCCGGGCCGAAAAGACACAGCACAUAUCAGAUCACAGAACCAACAGCUGAUCACACAGCCGCCUCGGCCUCCUCGCUGCCAGGACUCGGGAGGAAGUGCAGCGGGGAAGGGCAGGCCCACUCCCCAGAGCCAAGCUCAUAUCCCAAGUGCCCCCGCUAUGAGCCACCGUUGCCAGACCAACUCCCGGCACCUGCGCCCGGCCCAGGACCGAAGCCCUGGAGGAUCAUGGCACAGCCCUGAAGCACAACCCACCCACCCUCCUGAUUCGAUCAGCUGUCCUCUCGGAGCCUCAUCCUGCUCUGCUGACUGCUUUUAACUGAACUGUGAAAAAUCACAUCAAAAGCAAAAAAUACACUUUCACGUGAGGAUAAAAUAAACAUUAUAUAUGACUGUCAAGCAGCAGAGACAUCUGAAGUCUAAUACCAAAGAACACUGGACCCCAGUCUCAAGACAGGAUUUCCACCCUACCUCUGCGCUGUCGCCAUGUAAAUUAUGUAACUUCUCAGAGUACAGAAGUUGACCCCUGCCUGUGUGCAGUAUUUAUAAGCACCAGGACCAUAAAUAUAAAUGAAUCGUCUAUAAAUUAAAAAAGGUAUCAUCAUGCUUAAUCUAGUUUCUCAGGUUUGAAGCCAAAAUUUCAAUAUUGUUCACCAAGUACUUGUUAAGCAUACACUAUGUGAAACCAACAUCAACCUCAGCAGAAAGCAGAAUCUA
Molecule: long non-coding RNA, 1457 nt
Organism: Eptesicus fuscus (big brown bat)
Lineage: Eukaryota; Metazoa; Chordata; Mammalia; Chiroptera; Vespertilionidae
Exons: 3
Source: RefSeq, a predicted model, not a curated record